ACAGGCGCCCGCCAUGAUGCCCGGCUAAUUUUUUGUAUUUUUAGCAGAGACGGGGUUUCACCCUGUUAGCCAGGAUGGUCUCAUCUCCUGACCUCGUGAUCCGCCCGCCUAGGCCUCCCAAAGUGCUGGGAUUACAGGCGUGAGCCACCGCGCCCGGCCUAAUAAAGGACAAUUUUUAAUAGCCACUGGACUAUUUAAGUGAUCUCUUCUGUCAGUUUCUUUUACCAUCAGAGGACACAGCAGCAAGGUGCCAUCCUAGAAGCAGAGAGCAGACCCUUACCAGACAACCAACCAGCUGGUGCCAUGAUCUUGGACUUCUCGGCCUCCAGAACUGCACUUAAACACGCAGCAUGAGGAAAAUGGAACAACAAUCUUGAGGUGCCUUCUGAAUCAUCAGAUUAAAUUAUGCUUCGGUCUUGCACUGCUGCCUAGGCUAGAGUGCAGUGGUGCAAUCAGGGCUCACUGCAGCCUCACUCAACUUCCCAGUCUCAAGCCAUCCUCCUACCUCAGCCUCUGUUCCACUAAUCUACUUGUCAAUUUUUCCAGCAACACCACACCCUCCUGAUCACCAUAGCUUUAUGCAACAACAAGAAACAAAUUUAUUAGCUAACCUAACCACUAAUGACGCAAGAGACAAUUCUAAGGACUUUCAAAACAGCAAAGUAGGAGCAGCUGCUACCUCUAGGGAUGAGGGAGAAACUCAAAAAUGCAUACAAAAACCAUUGCAUGAAAAGUGACUGGAUUUGUACAUAGCGUCAGGAGAUGUGCGUAGUGUCAAAGUAUCUCAUCACACAUUACUUGAUAAUUACAAAUGAGAAAAAUGAACCUUCACAGUGGCAAGACUUGACUUCUACCUCUUUCAAAAAGAUGCAAUUGUCCAAUUAUUGGUGAAAUUGUCAUUUCAUGCUAUUGGCUAUUUGAAAUUCCUCCUCUAAUAAAAUGGGAAUAAAUCACGGAAAAGUUUAUGAUUUAUUGAGUUAUUUUAUGAAGUUCUGAUCUGAGAUAUCACAUUUCUGCAGUUCAGAAUAAAUCACUGAAAUUGACAUCGGCCAGUCUGAAUUUCAAGAAAUUACCUGCUGAAGACAAGAGGGAUCUCUUCUUCAGAUUUGCAGUCUGGGGAAGACACAGCCUCUACUGUACUUUAGAACCUGAGAUAUGGUGGUGGAGGGAGCCCUGGGUCGAGUGGUAAGAUUCACCCUUAGGUUAGUAUUGACGUAAGGUGACGAGGAGCUGUAGACAAAAGAUUGUAACCAUAAGAACUUCAUAGUUUUUGUAUUUUCACCGAGCUUAUAUUUGGUGUGUUUUUUGUCUUUUCUUUAUGAUUAUCAAUAAAAUGCUUGAAAGGAGAU
This 1349-nucleotide long non-coding RNA is filed under the name Homo sapiens (human). RNAcentral describes it as "long intergenic non-protein coding RNA 470". The record is from RNAcentral. Lineage: Eukaryota; Metazoa; Chordata; Mammalia; Primates; Hominidae.